RNAcentral lists this ribosomal RNA (414 nucleotides) under uncultured bacterium. RNAcentral's name for it is "bacterial SSU rRNA". It matches the Rfam family "Bacterial small subunit ribosomal RNA", at positions 102 to 518 of the family's 1533-position model. The record is from RNAcentral.
ACGGGUGAGUAACACGUAUGCAACCAACCAGUAACAGGGGGAUAACCCGGAGAAAUCCGGACUAAUACCGCAUAAGACCACGAUAUCGCAUGAUAUAGAGGUCAAAUAUUUAUAGGUUAUGGACGGCAUGCGUCUGAUUAGCUGGUUGGCGGGUAACGGCCACAAGGCAUCGAUCAGUAGGGUUCUGAGAGGAAGGUCCCCCACAUUGGAACUGAGACACGGUCCAAACUCCUACGGGAGGCAGCAGUGAGGAAUAUUGGUCAAUGGGCGAAAGCCUGAACCAGCCAUGUCGCGUGAAGGAAUGAAGGUCCUAUGGAUUGUAAACUUCUUUUGCAGGAGGGUAAAGUGAGCUACGUGUAGUUCAUUGCAAGUACCCUGCGAAUAAGCAUCGGCUAACUCCGUGCCAGCCGCAGC